RNA transcript from Macadamia integrifolia, 1731 nucleotides. RefSeq lists it as uncharacterized. The transcript has 10 exons. NCBI's taxonomy places the organism in Eukaryota, Viridiplantae, Streptophyta, Magnoliopsida, Proteales, Proteaceae. The record is from RefSeq and is a predicted model, not a curated record.
AUCACACUGGUUUGGAAACUCAGGAUCUAUUUCAUAAGAAUAUUCUUAUCUUAUUAUAUACCCUAGUUUUUUUUAAUACUGGGGGAUUGGGUUGGUAUCUGACAUACAUCUCCUAGUUGGGACCUCUUAUAUGUUGGCUGCCAGCACCCCCAUGCACAAGAAGUAUAUGUUGAGUCAUGACAAUUAAUGACGGUUUCUUCUGCUUUUUAUUGUUUGAUUUCAGUACUUACCUUCAUCCAGUACUAUCUUGGCAGAAUUUGAUCCAGAGGAUUGUCCACCUGAUUGUUCAAGACCAUGUGAAAUGGUUUGUCCUGCAAAUGCAAUUUCACUAGAACUGUUACCAAGGGAAGAUGGAUCUACUCAUGGCAAAGCUGCAUGUGGUAAAUUCCAGGGUGGAGUUAUAACUGAACGUUGCUAUGGUUGUGGCCGGUGCAUUCCUGUAUGUCCCUAUGAUAAAAUAACUGUUUUAGGAGCUGCUACAUAUGUCAGAGAUGCAGCUGAGACAGCUCAACUUCUUAAGAGAAGUGAUGUGGAUGCUGUAGAGAUACAUACUAGUGGAAGGCAAACUGAUUGUUUUGAAGAACUCUGGAAUAGAUUGGGAGAUUCAAUUUGGCAUGUGAAGCUAGUUGCGGUUAGCUUACCAUAUAUUGGGGAUUCAACCGCUGCUACAAUGAGCAGAGUAUUCUCAAUCAUGGGUCCUCGUCUUAGCUGCUACAAUCUAUGGCAGCUGGAUGGCCGUCCCAUGAGUGGAGAUAUUGGAAAAGGUGCCACUAGGGAAGCUAUUGCAUUUGCUGUUCAUUUGGCUGCACUAAGUGAUAGACCUCAUGGUUUUUUGCAGUUGGCUGGUGGCACCAACUUACAGACAGUUGAUAGUUUGAAGAAAGCAGGACUUUUCAAGAAAACAGAAAAUGGUUCACAGUAUGCUUUAAUUGGUGGGGUAGCUUAUGGUGGCUAUGCAAGGAAGAUUGUUGGAAGAGUUUUAAGUCAGAUACAAUCCCAUUAUGGCCUCAUGCACAUAGAGGAUCACCCUGACUAUUUCUUGGACGCACUUAAAGAGGCCCUCACUUUGGUUGGAACUGUCAAGUGCUAUCAUUUUCCUUCUGAUAUUUUCUAGAAGAAAAUUCCUCCGGAAGAGAUCCUCUCUGAAGUUUGAUAGUGGCGCAUGCACCAUUGCUCUCAAAUUCUACCAAUAUGUGUAAAGUUCAACAACAGCUCUUACAUUUUGUUUGAUGGUUAAGGAAUUUCAGUGAACCAAGUAGCUCGUUGAAUCCCCCUUAAAGUCUGGAAAUACACUGCGAACAACAGAUGGUACAAAGAGCCAUACAGCAUGAUUAUCAUGGUUAUGAUUAUGAUUAUGAUUAUGGGUUUGUUAUUGUUCAGGGGCUUACACCCUAAGGCUGCGUUUGGUUGCAAGGGAAAUGGGAAAGGGAAGGGAAGUGAAGGGAAGUGCAAGAAAUUUUUUUUCCCUUUCGAGUCGUUUGGUUGCAACAGAAGUGAAGUGAGAUUAAUUUACCAGAGUUGUUAGGUUGGAUGUAAAAUUGAUGUAAAAUAGAUGUAAAAUUUUAAAAAACUAGUAUACCAACCAAACUUAUUAAACUGUAACCAGUUACACCCCUUUCAUGUUUCUGGCACAAGAAGAACAAUAUAAUACUUUCCCUGAAAGAUCAGAUCAAAUAUUAUGUAAUGAUGUUCUUUCAUCUCUAUCAGAAUGUAAAUCAUUUUUGGGUCCUA